RNAcentral lists this ribosomal RNA (450 nucleotides) under uncultured bacterium. RNAcentral's name for it is "partial 16S ribosomal RNA". It matches the Rfam family "Bacterial small subunit ribosomal RNA", at positions 354 to 796 of the family's 1533-position model. The record is from RNAcentral.
GUGGGGAAUAUUGGACAAUGGGCGAAAGCCUGAUCCAGCCAUGCCGCGUGUGUGAAGAAGGUCUUCGGAUUGUAAAGCACUUUGAGUUGGGAGGAAGGGCAUUAACCUAAUACGUUAGUGUUUUGACGUUACCGACAGAAUAAGCACCGGCUAACUUCGUGCCAGCAGCCGCGGUAAUACGAAGGGUGCAAGCGUUAAUCGGAAUUACUGGGCGUAAAGCGCGCGUAGGUGGUUCGUUAAGUUGGAUGUGAAAGCCCCGGGCUCAACCUGGGAACUGCAUCCAAAACUGGCGAGCUAGAGUACGGUAGAGGGUGGUGGAAUUUCCUGUGUAGCGGUGAAAUGCGUAGAUAUAGGAAGGAACACCAGUGGCGAAGGCGGCGACCUGGUCCAUUACUGACGCUGAGGUGCGACAGCGUGGGGAGCAAACAGGAUUAGAAACCCGAGUAGUCC